GAUGAAGAACGCAGCGAAAUGCGAUAAGUAAUGUGAAUUGCAGAAUUCAGUGAAUCAUCGAAUCUUUGAACGCACAUUGCGCCCCCUGGUAUUCCGGGGGGCAUGCCUGUCCGUGCGUCAUUACAACCCUCAAGCUCAGCUUGGUGUUGGGCCCCGCCGCCCCGGCGGGCCCUAAAGUCAGUGGCGGUGCCGUCCGGCUCCGAGCGUAGUAAUUCUUCUCGCUCUGGAGGUCCGGUCGUGUGCUCGCCAGCAACCCCCAAUUUUUUUCAGGUUGACCUCGGAUCAGGUAGGGAUACCCGCUGAACUUAAGCAUAUCAAUAAGCGGAGGA
Molecule: unclassified non-coding RNA, 329 nt
Filed under: soil metagenome
Description: partial contains 5.8S ribosomal RNA, internal transcribed spacer 2, and large subunit ribosomal RNA
Rfam family: 5.8S ribosomal RNA (bases 1-120)
Source: RNAcentral